This is a non-coding RNA of Ictidomys tridecemlineatus (thirteen-lined ground squirrel), 4756 nucleotides long. The record is from RefSeq and is a predicted model, not a curated record. Lineage: Eukaryota; Metazoa; Chordata; Mammalia; Rodentia; Sciuridae.
CGCCCGGCGUCCGGAGGCAGCUCUGCGCUCGCUGCGUCCCUCGGUGUGUGCGCGCGCCCUGCCUCCCGGGCGCCCUCCCGGUCUCUCCUCCUCCUCCUCCUCCUCUUCCUCUCUGGGCCUCCCCUCCCCCUCGUGGCGCUCUUUAGGAGGGAGGCAUCGAAAGGCGAGCGGCGCGCCUCUGCCCGGUGCUCCCCCUGCCCGGGCGGGGAGGCUGGAGAGAGCGCGCGCGAGAAUAUGGCAAGAGAAUAUAUGCGCGAGAGGAUGGAUGCGAGGGAGCGAGGGGGAAUCCGUCACUUUGGAGCCACCGGAGCCCGGUCUGCAAAGAGUGGCUGGAGGUCGUGAGAACUCAGUGGGUUGCUGAACUCUAUGAUGGAGCCAAGGAGAGAAGCUGUGGUUGGACCAAGCAAGUCCUUCUGCAGGGCCCCAGCUGACCUGCCAUGCGGUGCUCAGUUUCCUGAAUCCUCACUCCACGCUCUGAGCCUGACCCACCCGCUGGACCCUCCUAUCCCAUCUCAGCCUGUGCAUGAUCUCUUGGUGCCCUUGUGCCAAGACCACAAAUAGCCACAGGAAAAGAGUUCCGAGAGGCUCGGGAAGUUGCCUUUCUGCUUGGAGAUGGAGCUCCAGCUCUGAUUUUGUCUCUAAUGAAAUGCCCUUGGGCAUGGCUGAGCACAGCCCUUGUUCACGCCAGGGCAGUCCUCCGGUUACAGGUUUACCAUCCUCCAGGCUCCCAGGACACUGCCAGAGAAAGCUGGCAUAACCCACUUCUCCACGCAGCCUGUGGCACGCAGCACGAAAAUUACCCUGGCCGCCCAAUUGCUGCAGGGCAGCUUCAGCACCAGGGACAGCUCCGCUCUUCCCGGGGCUCACCUCUCCUUCCCCCAGUGAAACAGACUCUAGAGAGGGGAAGAGAACUGGGAGGCACGGAGGGGCAGGCUGCAGGCACCCCUGCCUUCCAGCUGGAUCGCUGCAGCCUGUGGGGCAGGCGCUGUCUGUUCUCUUUGUUUCCUUGAAGCGCUCCACUGAGGGAGACCCUGACGUCUCUCUGGGGAGCCCAUUUGGGUUUUUAUCACCCUGGCUGUCAAGAAAGUCUGCCUUAUGCCUCACACAGACCUUUUCCAUCUUAAUUUCCCUCGAAGGGUGAAGGCCUUGAAGCAGUGACAGAAGCUGAAACCACUGCCACCUCUUCUAGCUCUCAGGAGAGACCUGGGUCACCCUCCAGAGCUUGUAGAGCAAAGCCGUGUGUCAAAGAAAGAAGCCAAACGAAUCCAGUGCUUGCCGCACUGGCUAGGCGACGGGAGUCUGCAACAGGGAAGACCGCAUGCACACGGGCCGCAGAGUGGGCAGCCGCCACCUCUGUGCCCAGCAUGGAUCUGUGUCCAGUUCAGUUAGAAUUGACCAGAGGAAACAAGGCAUUCAGGGUUCCUGAGCAGAGCUCCGUGGAAGAGGUCGAGGUUUUUCUCCCACCAGAAAACAGGUCUGAACCACCCCUGGUGGAGGUGGCACAGAGAGUCACUGGGCUCUCCACUUUGCCAUUGGUUUUAAAAAUUGUUGCUUGAGAGAGACACUAGUGCCCCUUCCUUCAGCCCCAAGAAGACAGACCCAAUCAGCACCACGGAGAAGGAAUGAAGGCCAGGGUGCCCUGGGCCAAGCUCUGUGGGUAUUAGGUACUCUACACCGGGCCUACCUGAGAGGCUCUGUGUCCCUGUCCAGCACCCAGCUAGGUAAAAAGCACCCUCAAUGCCUCAGGACACAGAAUGUGAGGGGGCUGCUCUGCACUCCUCCUCUUUGUCCCCCUAAAGUCAAAGCAUCAGCUCAUUAAAGGCUUAACCAAGACUCACAAAGGCCCAACGAGGUGGUCCUGUCCUGGCAAGCCAUGUGGCCCUGGGGAGGCCAGUGCACAGUGUCAGGCAGCCAGUGCCAAGCUGCAGAUAGGAGCUGGCCACAGGACAGCAGGGUGGCCAGUGGCAGGUGGUAGGCAGGAGCCUCUUCCAAAGCAACCACAGGUGCCGAGCUUGUCCCAGGACUCAGAGGAUGGGGACAGUUCUGGUUGGCAGGAAGCAAAGGAGCAGAUACCCAUGCUAACCUGCAGCUCAUGUCCUUACACCUCCAGCGUGACAGGGACCAAAUAUGAGCUCCUUUCUCCAGCCUUCAGGAGAGGGAGCAGUGGUGGUCUGCAGAGGAGCUUCUAGGUAGGACCCUGGCCAGCAGUAGCCCUGCCUGGCUGCCCCUGACCCCAAGGAGGUUGUUAGAAUUGCUGCAGGUACGGGUGCAAAAAGAGCAGAGAAGGCGCAGAGGAUUCUGAUGUCCUUCAGAGUCCCCAGAGCUCUCCAGAGAGGAGAAGUAGCACGUUGCUAUGGGCGUGGGUGCAUGCUUUGACUUGGAUGCAGGGCCCUUCUAGGGCCACAGCCCCUCCUAGCCCCUACCCCCUGCUCCCUCUUCCUCCUGGGGAGAGCGCUUCUCUUCCUCAUCUACUCUAGCACUGGGGUCCAGUGAUGCUUUGGCACCACGACAACUCUCCGGUUCCAAGGCAUGGGGUUUCUGAGAAUUCACUGGCAAGGAGAUUUGGGGAAGCUGGCGGCCAGCUGAGGACCUACACUGCUCUGAGCAGCUCCCGGCAUCUCCUCCCACCGAGAGCUCUGCAUUAGGGUGGGGGAGCCGUCUGUUCCGUCUCUUACUUCCCUGGGAUGCCGUGACUUUUGAUUCCUGCUUGAUUAAUAUACAGCCAACAGACACUGUAUUUAAGGCAGCUUUAAUUCUCUCAGGUCACCAAACUCGGGAGCAGCAACGCUGUGAGGAGCCAGCCCCGCAAUAGAUCAAACACUGGGACCUUCAAAUCGCUCUGUGGCCCAAUUUCUCAUCACUGCUGCUGCCUGAUAACCCUCCCAGCCUGGAGCCAGCCUCCCCCUUUUCUGGGGGUGGGCUCAGGGACUGGAUGUGUAUGUCCACGGCUGAAACCCUGCUGGCAGCUAGAACAGGAGCUGGCAGGACUCAGUGCUUCAGUCCUGCAAGAGUGACCCGUCAGCACCAGGGACAGCUCCCUGGUGUUCCAGUGCUGCCUGAACUCGGCCUUCCUGGGCCCUACAAAGAGGAUGUCAAUGAGUCUCUCUGGUUUGCAGGAGGUGGCCAGUGGCCAGCCCUGCUGAGGGCCACCUCACUCCAAAUCCCUUCCCAGCCAAAUCCGUCUCCUGCUCCCCUUUGGGGCCCUGCACCCUCCCAUAUAGACUUAGGCUUUCUCCCUUAGGCUUUCUCUAAUCCACUUUCUCAUUCUCUGAUCCUCCUGAGAGCUCUCCCCAAAGAGAAGCAGGCUGCUCUCAGUUAGGACACCUGGCUGCCUCUCUGCUAGCCCUGGGUGCCCAGGGCUUCUGGGGACCCCACCAUCUCCUUUUUGGCUCCCCCCCCUUUCCACUUGCCUGGCUCGUUAGCAGGCUGAUUUGUCUCCUGGCACCUGGUGUCCCCCUAUUGGGUGGGGGAGAGGGCCAGAACUGUCUGCAAGGCUGCCAUUUCCUCUGAAGCGUCUGUUAUAGACCUGGUCCUCACUGCACUGCCGAGCAGCACAACACAGAGAGAUUGCACUCGGAGGCCGGGCUUGAAACUGACCUCCCAGGGGGGCAGGGAGGGCGCCGUGAACGGACAACCUGGUGCACAAAGCCGUUCCCAUUUAAGAGCAGGACCUUCGUGGGCCAGAGUCUGAUCAAUCUUUGCUGCCACCCUACACCACAGAUUAGGAAGAAACAUUCGCAUAGAAGUUGGAGCAGCCCCAGAUGCGCCCUCCCCGGCCCAAACACCACUGCUGUUGUGUUAGGAUUUUUCUCUCCACAAGCCCCAUUGGAGUUACCCCUCCCCCUCGGCCUCCUUCCACUUAAAACAUCAUCUAUAGAUUUUCAAAUUAUUGCUACACUUUCUAAGAGAAGGAUGCAGUGGUUAAAAAUUAACAGCAAAUUUAUAGGAAUUCUAUGUGGCAAUUACAGAAUUAUAAUGGAGUGGCCGCCACUUGGCGAGUGUGGGUAAUUGGAAAUCCACACUGGGAGACCGGGAUCUUUAUGGCACUGGGGUUGUGUUUUUCGGGUGUAAAUGCUGUGGAGAGGGUCAAUGGACCCUUGAGCUGGCCAAGUUCUUCUCCAGAGGAAAGAGUGGCCAGCCUCCUAGGGAGGGGAGGCGAUUUAGAAGGCGAAUCACUUAACUGGUGCAGAGGGAGGAGGCUCUGGGAGGCCUGGGGUCGGCAGGUUGGGGGCUAGAGGAGCAGCCCUGAGACCCCCCAGCCCCAUCUGGAAAGGAAGGGGAAGGCAGAGGGAAACGAGUCACGGCAGGGCACAGGACGCGGGCCAGCCAGCAGGAGAAGCCUGACUCUCCCCACCCUGUGGGUAAUUCUAUUUAAAAAAUUGGAUGAGAAAGAGAGACCAUUUAUGAAGGCGGGGUGGACAUUGUCCACGCUUCCCACGGGGCCACCCCUGCCGCUGCACCCGCCGUGGUAGUUCAUGGUGGGCGCUGCUGCCUUCUCCUCCCUCUAGGACCACGGCGGCUGGGACCACCAUGGCAGGACCCCGAGAAGGGACUCUGACUGGAGAUCUAGGAGCAAAUCACCUGGUUCAAGAUGUCAGCUAGACCUGGUGCUGUCCAAUAUGGGAACCACUGGUUCCCGUGGCCGCUCAGUGCUGGAACAGUGACACUCAAUGUGUGUGUCAGUUGCGUGCAGAAAUGACGAUGCUUCUGGAGCGUGAGGUUGCGUUAAGUGCAUUAAUAAAAAUAGUCGCACCCA